GGGACACAGCCUCUGAGUACCAGGAGCUGCAGAGGGAAAGGGAGGGACAGACGGAGGUGAGAACAUUACAUGAAAGAGAGCAUUUCUCUGAGCUAAGUGAAGACCCGAGCCGGCCAAGCGAGGGGCCCACCGGCUGCAGGCUGGGAACCUGGCGCCACGAAAACUGACACGAGCUCUGCUAAUGAUGGAGGUGUUGCCUGAGUCAUCCAAGCCAACCUGCUGUUUCCUAGACAUGAAAUUGCCGGGUUGCAGGACAAUGAAGCAUUUUGAAUAAGCGCUGCCAAACUACUUCCAAAAAGAGCUGCUGACUUCUACUACAGUACGGGCAUUCCUGUCUUCCCCAUCCCGCUAGGCAGGCUGUGGGAUUUGGGGCAGAGCCAUGGGGCUGUCUGUGAAACAGCUCCCGGUCCUGCACCUGGCUCUGCACUACGAGCGUCAUCCUCACGGCUUUUCCAGGCAUCCUGUGGGCGAUUUAUCUGAGUGUCAACAAAUGGAAAGAGGGUUCUGUGUGAGUUCCUGUCCUAUAGCAUGGAGUGUCAUGUUAAAGGACACUUUUUGUGCCGUUGUCUAAAUACAAAUGGCUGCAGGCAUUGAACUAAUGGACUUUGGACAGAGUCAAGCAACUCCAUAGUGAGGGACGAGGAGGCGACUUCCCCCACCUGGUUCUCGCCCUCCUGUCAGUCCUUGCUGGCCAGGGCCCAGUCCAUCGCAUUCUGCUCACCCACCUAACCUCCGCAGCUGGGCGGCCUUUCAUCCUGCUUGAUUGAAU
RNAcentral lists this long non-coding RNA (769 nucleotides) under Homo sapiens (human). RNAcentral describes it as "novel transcript". The record is from RNAcentral. Lineage: Eukaryota; Metazoa; Chordata; Mammalia; Primates; Hominidae.